GAUGAACGCUGGCGGCAUGCCUAAUACAUGCCAGUCGAGCGAACGGACGAGAAUCUUGCUUCUCUGAUGUUAGCGGCGGGCGAGUGAGUAACACGUGGAUACCUACCUAUAAGACUGGGAUAACUUCGGGAAAGCGUAACUAAUACCGGAUAAUAUUGUUGACCGCAUGGGUCAAAAGUGAAAGACGGUCUUGCUGUCACUUAUAUAUGGAUCCGCGCUGCAUUAGCUAGUUGGUAAGGUAACGGCUUACCAAGGCCACGAUGCAUAGCCGACCUGAGAGGGCGACCGGCCACACUGGAACUGAGACACGGUCCAGACUCCUACGGGAGGCAGCAGUAGGGAAUUUUCCGCAAUGGGCGAAAGCCUGACGCAGCAAUGCCGCGUGAGUGAUGAAGGUCUUCGGAUCGUAAAACUCUGUUAUUCGGGAAGAACAUAUGUGUAAGAAAAUGUGGACAUCUUGACGGUACCUAAUGAGAAAGCACCGGCUAACUACGUG
This 496-nucleotide ribosomal RNA is filed under the name uncultured bacterium. Its description in RNAcentral is "partial 16S ribosomal RNA". It matches the Rfam family "Bacterial small subunit ribosomal RNA", at positions 28 to 507 of the family's 1533-position model. The record is from RNAcentral.